GACGAACGCUGGCGGCGUGCUUAACACAUGCAAGUCGAACGGAAACGCCCUGCUUUUGUGGUGUUCUCGAGUGGCGAACGGGUGAGUAACACGUGAGUAACCUGCCCUUGACUUUGGGAUAACUUCAGGAAACUGGGGCUAAUACCGGAUAGGAUCUCCUGCUGCAUUGUGGGGGUUGGAACUUCUCGGCGGUUGUGGAUGGACUCGCGGCUUAUCAGCUUGUUGGUGGGGUAGUGGCUUACCAAGGCUUGGACGGGUAGCCGGCCGGAGAGGGGGACCGGCCACAAUGGGACUGAGGUACGGCGCAGACUCCAACGGGAGACAGUAGUGGGGAAUAUGACACAGUGGGCGGAAGUCUGAUGCAGAGGCGCCGCGUUCGGGAUGACGGCCUUCGGGUUGUAAACCGCUUUCGCCUGUGACGAAGCGUGAGUGACGGUAAUGGGUAAAGAAGCACCGGCUAACUACGAG
Molecule: ribosomal RNA, 468 nt
Filed under: uncultured bacterium
Lineage: Bacteria
Description: partial 16S ribosomal RNA
Rfam family: Bacterial small subunit ribosomal RNA
Source: RNAcentral